Long non-coding RNA from Perca flavescens (yellow perch), 193 nucleotides. RefSeq lists it as uncharacterized. NCBI's taxonomy places the organism in Eukaryota, Metazoa, Chordata, Actinopteri, Perciformes, Percidae. The record is from RefSeq and is a predicted model, not a curated record. The transcript is spliced from 3 exons.
UGUACUCCAGCACACGGAUCUAACCUACGGUUUCAAAAUGUACGGACAGAACCAAGGAAACCAGUACCCUCCUGGUUAUCCCAACAAUCCUCAGCAGAUGCCAGGGGGAUUCCCUCAAUAUCCUCCAGGCACUGUCCCAGGACAAAACUACCCUCCUCAGCCCUACGGUCCACACGGAGGCCAACAGGGACAU